GGUGCGGUAGUUCAGNNGGUUAGAAUAUCGGCCUGUCACGCCGAGGGUCGCGGGUUCGAGUCCCGUCCGCACCGCAA
RNAcentral lists this transfer RNA (77 nucleotides) under Prolixibacteraceae bacterium. Its description in RNAcentral is "tRNA-Asp". It matches the Rfam family "tRNA". Rfam says of the family: Transfer RNA (tRNA) molecules are approximately 80 nucleotides in length. Their secondary structure includes four short double-helical elements and three loops (D, anti-codon, and T loops). Lineage: Bacteria; Pseudomonadati; Bacteroidota; Bacteroidia; Marinilabiliales; Prolixibacteraceae. The record is from RNAcentral.